UACGGAGGAUGCGAGCGUUAUCCGGAUUUAUUGGGUUUAAAGGGUGCGUAGGCGGGCCUUCAGGCCGGCGGUAAAAUUGCGGGGCUCAACCCCGCCGAGCCGUCGGAACCGGGGGCCUUGAGUACCGGAGAAGUACGCGGAAUGCGUGGUGUAGCGGUGAAAUGCAUAGAUAUCACGCAGAACCCCGAUUGCGAAGGCAGCGUACCGGCCGGUCACUGACGCUGAGGCACGAAAGCGCGGGUAUCGAA
RNAcentral lists this ribosomal RNA (248 nucleotides) under uncultured Muribaculaceae bacterium. Its description in RNAcentral is "partial 16S ribosomal RNA". It matches the Rfam family "Bacterial small subunit ribosomal RNA", at positions 524 to 772 of the family's 1533-position model. Lineage: Bacteria; Pseudomonadati; Bacteroidota; Bacteroidia; Bacteroidales; Muribaculaceae. The record is from RNAcentral.